GACGAACGCUGGCGGCGUGCUUAACACAUGCAAGUCGAACGGAAAGGCCCUGCUUUUGUGGGGUGCUCGAGUGGCGAACGGGUGAGUAACACGUGAGUAACCUGCCCUUGACUUUGGGAUAACUUCAGGAAACUGGGGCUAAUACCGGAUAGGAGCUCCUACUGCAUGGUGGGGGUUGGAAAGUUUCGGCGGUUGGGGAUGGACUCGCGGCUUAUCAGCUUGUUGGUGGGGUAGUGGCUUACCAAGGCUUUGACGGGUAGCCGGCCUGAGAGGGUGACCGGCCACAUUGGGACUGAGAUACGGCCCAGACUCCUACGGGAGGCAGCAGUGGGGAAUAUUGCACAAUGGGCGGAAGCCUGAUGCAGCAACGCCGCGUGCGGGAUGACGGCCUUCGGGUUGUAAACCGCUUUCGCCUGUGACGAGGCGUGAGUGACGGUAAUGGGUAAAGAAGCACCGGCUAACUACGUG
This 468-nucleotide ribosomal RNA is filed under the name uncultured bacterium. RNAcentral's name for it is "partial 16S ribosomal RNA". It matches the Rfam family "Bacterial small subunit ribosomal RNA", at positions 28 to 507 of the family's 1533-position model. The record is from RNAcentral.